This 482-nucleotide ribosomal RNA is filed under the name uncultured bacterium. Its description in RNAcentral is "partial 16S ribosomal RNA". It matches the Rfam family "Bacterial small subunit ribosomal RNA", at positions 30 to 507 of the family's 1533-position model. The record is from RNAcentral.
AUUGAACGCUGGCGGCAUGCCUUACACAUGCAAGUCGAACGGUAACGGGCCUUCGGGUGCCGACGAGUGGCGAACGGGUGAGUAAUACAUCGGAACGUGCCCGAUCGUGGGGGAUAACGAGGCGAAAGCUUUGCUAAUACCGCAUACGAUCUACGGAUGAAAGCAGGGGACCGCAAGGCCUUGCGCGGACGGAGCGGCCGAUGGCAGAUUAGGUAGUUGGUGGGAUAAACGCUUACCAAGCCGACGAUCUGUAGCUGGUCUGAGAGGAUGAUCAGCCACACUGGGACUGAGACACGGCCCAGACUCCCACGGGAGGCAGCAGUGGGGAAUUUUGGACAAUGGGCGCAAGCCUGAUCCAGCCAUGCCGCGUGCAGGAUGAAGGCCUUCGGGUUGUAAACUGCUUUUGUACGGAACGAAAAGCCUUCUUUUAAUACAGGAGGGUCAUGACGGUACCGUAAGAAUAAGCACCGGCUAACUACGUG